Molecule: long non-coding RNA, 697 nt
Organism: Alligator mississippiensis (American alligator)
Lineage: Eukaryota; Metazoa; Chordata; Crocodylia; Alligatoridae
Exons: 4
Source: RefSeq, a predicted model, not a curated record
UGGAAGAAUUCAACCAGAACAGCUUGGCUGCUUUUAGGAAGAAAGAUCUCAUUAUGAAGCCAUCUCCCUUCAUCAAAUUGGCAGACCAGAGUGCAGCAUUUUUAUUUGAUUUUUAACAGCAACAACAAGAACAGCAAGAAGCUCAGCAAACAUCAAGGAACAAGAAACUCGAACAAGAACUGUAAUGGAGUUCAUGCGACUGCUAAUUUAAUGAAUAGAUGCACCCAAGGAACAGCGUUUUUGUAUGAGGACCAUAUGAUAGGAAGAAGCAAUAUUCACCCUUCCAGUCCUAGAAUCCUAUGAAUAUUUUGAAACAAUCUCCCCUAGGUGCAGCAACUUGCAUUUAUUUCCUUGGACUUCAUCUUGUUGUUCCUAGCCCAGCUUCCCAGUCUAACCGGAUCCAUCUGAAUUCUACUCCUAUCCUCCAAAGUGUCUGCGGCAAAUCCCACCUUCCAGAAUCUGGAUAUUUGUCUAUAUCCAAAUAAUGAUUUACACCAACUGGUAAAUGAAAUCUUCAAUUCCUCAUCUUGCAAUUCAUGGCAUUUAUUUUAGGUGGUGCAGUCAGCAAAAUUCAUGCAUGAAACAUUACUUCCCCGCUUCAACAGUUUUAACACAAAAUGACCCAAGUCAAGUGUCAUUGUAUGUACAAAGCUACAGAAUUAACCCACCACCUUUUUUUUCUUGUAAAUAGGUUGAA